Molecule: long non-coding RNA, 865 nt
Filed under: Setaria italica (foxtail millet)
Lineage: Eukaryota; Viridiplantae; Streptophyta; Magnoliopsida; Poales; Poaceae
Description: long non-coding RNA (SITA_LNC005115)
Source: RNAcentral
GGACUGCAGGAUGUUAGCUUGCAGCUCACUUCGGAAGGAAAAACAAAACAAAAACACUUUUGUUAUGAAAAUAACAAACUGCAUUUCGACUGCUAUAUUGUCAAGGAUUAGGUAUUGUAUUUUCUUACCUUGAAAGCAUUAGGAAUUGUAGCCCAUAUCUUGUCGAGGAUGAUACCUCCUGAUAGAUUCCAAGGAUUCCACACACUAUAGUUAUUCCACCAAACAUAAGAUCUGCACUCGCUUGAUGAAAAAUUUCAAUGAGAAAGGUUACACAGUGAACAGAGAAUGUACUCAGUCGUGAUAUUGUGAAAUAGAGUAUUAAUCUAGAUCAGUGCUAAACUGGACUUAAAUUGUUGAUCUUACGAACUAUUUGAGAUGGUUAUAAAAGCCAAUCUAGUUCAAUUCAUCAUAAAAUUAGAUCUGCAGCUCAGAAUUGUUUGUUUUACAAAGAUGAACAGAAGCACAAGAAGAUCAGAAUCCAGAAGAAUUUCAGUACGUAAAGAACAACCGGCUCCAAUGGAGACUAUUCUUCUAUGUUGUACCAAAAAGCAAAAUUGCAAAAAAAAAAACUGUUAUUGUCCAAUGGGAGGAUAAAAAUUGACACAAGGCAUAUGCUUAUCUGAUCUUGAACCUCAGGAUUAAGCAUCUGGCCGUAUUCUUUUGUUCUGCUCUAAGCAAAUCCUGGUAAACAAAAUCCCCAGCCCCCAAAGAGACACAAAAAGCGAAAAACAUCAGGUACCACAGGAUGACAAUUACAAAAUGCUGUAUAAUGAAGCUGUUUGCUUAGUUAACAAUAACUGUAAGAAAAGAAAGGCAUACCUUUCAGCCAUUGCCUUGCCAUGUGAUCCUCCUCCUUCCCUUCACC